GAUGAACGCUGGCGGCGUGCCUAAUACAUGCAAGUCGAGCGGAGAAAAGAAGCUUGCUUCUUUUCUUAGCGGCGGACGGGUGAGUAACACGUAAGUAAUCUGCCUUAUAGACUGGGAUAACAUCGAGAAAUCGGUGCUAAUACCGGAUGAUAAUUUUGUUCGCAUGAAUGAAAUUUGAAAGUUGGCUUUUAGCUAACACUACAAGAUGAGCUUGCGGCGCAUUAGCUAGUUGGUGAGGUAACGGCUCACCAAGGGGACGAUGCGUAGCCGACCUGAGAGGGUGAUCGGCCACACUGGGACUGAGACACGGCCCAGACUCCUACGGGAGGCAGCAGUAGGGAAUUUUCCACAAUGGACGAAAGUCUGAUGGAGCAACGCCGCGUGUGCGAAGAAGGCCUUCGGGUUGUAAAGCACUGUUGUAAGGGAAGAAUGGGUGAGAGAGGAAAUGCUCUUGCUAUGACGGUACCUUACCAGAAAGCCACGGCUAACUACGUGCCAGCAGCCGCGGUAAAAC
RNAcentral lists this ribosomal RNA (514 nucleotides) under uncultured bacterium. RNAcentral's name for it is "bacterial SSU rRNA". It matches the Rfam family "Bacterial small subunit ribosomal RNA", at positions 28 to 526 of the family's 1533-position model. The record is from RNAcentral.